This 502-nucleotide ribosomal RNA is filed under the name uncultured bacterium. Its description in RNAcentral is "partial 16S ribosomal RNA". It matches the Rfam family "Bacterial small subunit ribosomal RNA", at positions 30 to 523 of the family's 1533-position model. The record is from RNAcentral.
AUUGAACGCUGGCGGCGUGCCUAACACAUGCAAGUCGAGCGGUAACAGGUGUAGCAAUACAUGCUGACGAGCGGCGAACGGGUGAGUAAUGCUUCGGAAUCUACCUUAUGGUGGGGAAUAACUAGCCGAAAGGUUAGCUAAUACCGCAUACGUCCUACGGGAGAAAGCAGGGGAUCGCAAGACCUUGCGCCAAAAGAUGAGCCGAAGUCGGAUUAGCUAGUUGGUAGGGUAACGGCCUACCAAGGCGACGAUCCGUAGCUGGUCUGAGAGGACGACCAGCCACACUGGGACUGAGACACGGCCCAGACUCCUACGGGAGGCAGCAGUGGGGAAUAUUGGACAAUGGGGGAAACCCUGAUCCAGCGACGCCGCGUGUGUGAAGAAGGCCUGCGGGUUGUAAGGCACUUUUAGUGGGGAUGAAAUGUGCAGGGUUAAUACCUCUGCAUUUUGACCUAACCCACAGAAAAAGCACCGGCUAACUCUGUGCCAGCCGCCGCGGUAA